This 694-nucleotide long non-coding RNA is filed under the name Pan troglodytes (chimpanzee). RNAcentral's name for it is "long non-coding RNA NONPTRT012365". Lineage: Eukaryota; Metazoa; Chordata; Mammalia; Primates; Hominidae. The record is from RNAcentral.
GUAUGGUUUGGAGGUGCUCUGUUGUAUGGUUUGGAGGUGCUCUGUUGUAUGGUUUGGAGGUGCUCUUGUAUGGUUUGGAGGUGCUCUUGUAUGGUUUGGAGGUGCUCUAUUGUAUGGUUUGGAGGUGCUCUGUUGUAUGGUUUGGAGGUGGUCUUGUAUGGUUUGGAGGUGGUCUUGUAUGGUUUGGAGGUGCUCUUGUAUGGUUUGGAGGUGCUCUUGUAUGGUUUGGAGGUGCUCUUGUAUGGUUUGGAGGUGCUCUUGUAUGGUUUGGAGGUGCUCUGUUGUAUGGUUUGGAGGUGGUCUUGUAUGGUUUGGAGGUGGUCUUGUAUGGUUUGGAGGUGGUCUUGUAUGGUUUGGAGGUGCUCUGUUGUAUGGUUUGGAGGUGCUCUGUUGUAUGGUUUGGAGGUGCUCUAUUGUAUGGUUUGGAGAUGCUCUGGUCUCUGCCUGCUUUGCUUGCCUCACCUGCCCGGUCAGAAGGUGCUGUGUUGACAAUUGUGCCUGCACGGUGCCUAGGUCAAUGAAGGGAACCGAUGGUAGCCACUGGAUGCUCCUGGGAAAAUGUCACUACAGGCACCAGAGAAGCCAGAGCUAUGCCCAAAUUUCUAUGAGUCUCAGUUUUCUUAACCAUAAAAUGGGAUCAAAGUUUUUGUGGCAUGUUUAUGAGUGUGUGUCUGUGUAUGUGUGAGGAUUAAAU